CCUACGGGAGGCAGCAGUGGGGAAUAUUGCACAAUGGGGGGAACCCUGAUGCCGCAAUGCCGCGUGGGUGAAGAAGCACUCCGGUGCGUAAAGCCCUGUCAGCAGGGAAGAAAAUGACAGUACCUGACCAAGAAGCCACGGCUAACUACGUGCCAGCAGCCGCGGUAAUACGUAGGGGGCAAGCGUUAACCGGAUUUACUGGGGUUAAAGGGAGCGCAGGCGGGAUGGCAAGUCAGACGUGAAAACCCAGGGCACAACCCUGGGACUGCAUUGGAAACUGCCAUACUGGAGUGCCGGAGAGGUAAGUGGAAUUCCUAGUGUAGCGGGGAAAUGCGUAGAUAUUAGGAGGAACACCAGUGGCGGAGGCGGCUUACUGGACGGUAACUGACGCUGAGGCUCGAAAGCGUGGGGAGCAAACAGGAUUAGAUACCCUGGUAGUC
This 440-nucleotide ribosomal RNA is filed under the name uncultured bacterium. RNAcentral's name for it is "partial 16S ribosomal RNA". It matches the Rfam family "Bacterial small subunit ribosomal RNA", at positions 338 to 795 of the family's 1533-position model. The record is from RNAcentral.